Molecule: transfer RNA, 84 nt
Filed under: bacterium D16-34
Lineage: Bacteria
Also listed under: 1 other name
Description: tRNA-Leu
Rfam family: tRNA
About the family: Transfer RNA (tRNA) molecules are approximately 80 nucleotides in length.
Source: RNAcentral
GCCCGGGUGGUGGAACGGCAGACACGUCGGUCUCAAAAACCGAUGCCGAAAGGUGUGCGGGUUCAAAUCCCGCCCCGGGCACCA